GACGAACGCUGGCGGCGUGCUUAACACAUGCAAGUCGAACGGAAAGGCCCCCAUCUUGGUGGGGGUGCUCGAGUGGCGAACGGGUGAGUAACACGUGGGUGAUCUGCCCUGUACUUCGGGAUAAGCUUGGGAAACUGGGUCUAAUACCGGAUAGGACCAUGGUUUAGUGUCUCAUGGUGGAAAGAUUAUUGUUUUGGUGCAGGAUGAGCUCGCGGCCUAUCAGCUUGUUGGUGGGGUAAUGGCCUACCAAGGCGUCGACGGGUAGCCGGCCUGCGAGGGUGGACGGCCACAUUGGGACUGAGAUACGGCCCAGACGCCUACGGGAGGCAGCAGUGGGGAAUAUUGCACAAUGGGCGCAAGCCUGAUGCAGCGACGCCGCGUGGGGGAUGACGGCCUUCGGGUUGUAAACUCCUUUCGUUAGGGACGAAGCCACGCUUGUUGGGUGUGGUGACGGUACCUUUGUUAAGAAGCACCGGCUAACUACGUG
Molecule: ribosomal RNA, 487 nt
Filed under: uncultured bacterium
Lineage: Bacteria
Description: partial 16S ribosomal RNA
Rfam family: Bacterial small subunit ribosomal RNA
Source: RNAcentral